Molecule: ribosomal RNA, 431 nt
Filed under: uncultured bacterium
Lineage: Bacteria
Description: bacterial SSU rRNA
Rfam family: Bacterial small subunit ribosomal RNA
Source: RNAcentral
UCGAGGAUCUUCGGCAAUGGGCGCAAGCCUGACCGAGCGACGCCGCGUGUGCGAUGAAGGCCUUCGGGUUGUAAAGCACUGUCGAGGGGGAGGAAGGCGCAAGCUUGACCUAUCCCUGGAGGAAGCACGGGCUAAGUUCGUGCCAGCAGCCGCGGUAAGACGAACCGUGCGAACGUUGUUCGGAAUCACUGGGCUUAAAGGGCGCGUAGGCGGCUACGUAAGUCUCGGGUGAAAUCUUUCGGCUCAACCGGAAACGUGCCUGGGAUACUGCGCAGCUCGAGGGAGGUAGGGGCGGACGGAACUUCCGGUGGAGCGGUGAAAUGCGUUGAUAUCGGAAGGAACGCCGGUGGCGAAAGCGAUCCGCUGGACCUCUACUGACGCUGAGGCGCGAAAGCCAGGGGAGCAAACGGGAUUAGAUACCCGCGUAGUCC